Molecule: long non-coding RNA, 4062 nt
Organism: Dermacentor albipictus
Lineage: Eukaryota; Metazoa; Arthropoda; Arachnida; Ixodida; Ixodidae
Source: RefSeq, a predicted model, not a curated record
CGAGACCUCCCUGCACGUGCACAUGCGGCAUAGGGAAAUAAUAAAUCAAGAAUAAAACUACGAAUGAGCAAGCGCCGCAAAAGAGCACUCAGCGAAUCGGCAAGAAACGCGUCACUCAGGCAGCCUAGAUGAGGCGAAGAGACCCCGUCGGCAGCGAGGCGGAGCUGAGGAUCCAGGAAGACGCGUUGGCUUGAGUCGGGUGUCCACGUUCGGGAAGCCAACCGCUGUCGGAGGGACUCCGUCGAGCGACGCAGCAUCAACCUAACUGAAAUGAAACGCUCUCUGGAAGACAAACGGAAAGCACAAGGUGAACACAGUAAACCUCAUUCGGGCGCAUAUUGCGACACCGGAAGUGAGAAUAGUCAUUCGCUGAAGGUAUCAUCGGCUGCUCGGAGCAAUGCAAAAGAGAAUGAGAAGUCCGCGGAUAGCGGUAUGCCAUCAUUUAUUGCCAUUCUAGACGAAGUGUUGGACCGAAAUGACAGAUCUAGAACUACAAACGAGCCAGCUUCGUCUCAGGGCAAUAGCCCAGUCAGCUCCGGCCAGGAUAACCGCCUUGGAAGCAGCGGCACAGGCAGACCUGAAAUUAGGCCAUUACUGAAAGAAGUUGACGUCAAACAUGACGCAAGACUGAAUCUGCAUGAAGCCAUACAGUGUGAUAUAAAGGGCGAAUAUGUUUCUGUAGAAGACACACGGGAACAAAAUGCAACUCCUGCAAAUGACCCUGGAAGUAGGUCUUCGCUACAUGGACUCUACUUCGAGGAUGGCCCACAGGUAGAUGUUCAAGAAUUCCUGAUUAAGUACGCUAUAACAAGAAGUAAAGAAAUUGUGGAAACUGAGGAGUCCACUGAUAGCGAUGUGUCCUUAUUUACUGCCGCCUUGGACGAAUUGUUGGAGAGAACCAGCAGCGCUGAUACUACAAACCAGCCAGCAGUGCCUCAGGACGACGUUCCAAUCGCAGAGCAGGAUGGGUGUCCUGGAUGCAGCCGCACAAACAGCCCUGGAAGUAGCUAUUUACCGCAAGCGCACUCUAUCCAACAGAACCCAAGACUGAAUCUUCAAGAAGCCAUAGGCGACAUUCAGAUUGGAGACGUUUCCAUAGUAGGCACAAGAAAAGAGGAUGUGACCCCUGCAAGUAGCCCUGGAAGUAGCCCUUCCCUACAUGCGCCUUACUUCGAGGAUGGUCCACAGGUAGAUCUACGAUUAGUUCUGAAUGGUAACGUUCCAACAGAACACACAAAGAGGGGCUGUAUUCAUGAUUAUCUUGGAACAGUGGGUAGCCCUUCCCUGCAUGGACUUUACUUCGACGUUGGCCCGCUGGUAAACGCGCCGGAAUGUUUUACUAGCUACCCUUCAGGAAGCAUAGAGGGGUGCUGUAUUGACCACUAUUUUGGAAGAGUGAGUAGCACUUGCUUACCUGGACUACCAUCUGAGGAUGACCCACAGGUAAAUCUGCCGGGAGUUCCCACUAGCUAUCUUCAAACAAGAAACACAGAUGGAGUCUCCAUUGACCAUGAGGUUGGAACAGUGAGUGAAAUUCCUGGUAGCGCCUACGGUGUUAGUAACAAAGAAUGCACAGGCACACGGUCUAUUUCGACGAUCAACUCGGCUUCCAAAGAGGUCGCUCUGUCUCUUCGUUCAGCUUCAGCUACAUACAAUGAACAGGACCAUGGUCACCACCUGAGCAGAGAUGAUUACACCACAAUGACCAACGGCAAGGAUGCAGAAGUGCAAGUCCAUGACGUUCAGCACGUCCCAGUAUUUCAGCAAGAUAAUACUUAUUUUACGGACAAUGUAAACGUUAUCCCUGAUAUCGAUGGCAAUUACAGGGAAUACUCUGCAAGCAUGUGGGAGUUGAUAGAGCUGGCAGAAAAGACAGAUAGUAAAGUUGUCUCCUGCUGUCUUGAUCUACAUAACAAUAAUCAUAACCUUUCUGCCGAAACGCAAUCAGUGGCCUCAAUAAACAAUCUUAGUUAUGAACUCGAACACGGAACACGAACUCUACCUCUGCCACCAUUAGACAAUAUGUUUGAGUGUUAUGAAACACGCGGCACUGCUGCUAAGAGUGAUAACUCUUUUGUGGCCGCUUCAACAAAUAUUCGCGACUCGGCUUCAGAGAUUAUGUUUAGCAAAGCUGCAGAGCCUCACGGCUUUGAAGAUGCUGGUCCACAUGACGCAGCACCGGUCGCAGUAUCUUGCAGCGUUAUCGCACCGGCUACUCACCUUAAUAAUGACCCAAGUUUGACAAACUUUACGGAAUCAGGUCGCCUUUACAUUGCUCAAGCACACGAGACUAUCCAUUUUCGAAAGCCGUCUCCCACCGUUCCGUUCGUAAACAGCUGCAAGCGCCAGGAGCCAGAGCUGUUGCUGACGUCAUCAAAGGGGCCACUAAAGCAAGUCGUUGCUGGCUUGGUAGGACGGAAUCAGAGUAUACACUCUUCAACAGUAACUGACGGUGGUGAAGUUUGCACUAGUUCAUUUCACUCUGAAAACGACAGUUUGCUUCAUGCCUCGCCUUUAUCAUUAGCAGGACUCAGUGAUACUGAGGAAAUUGAAUUUGAUAAUGACUUCGUAAAAUUGCUUUCGUCGUCCACCUCAUUGUUUGGCAUAGAAGACUCUGACGAUAAUGAUUUAAUCCUGAAUGAGGAUAUCAAUGUGAGUAGGUGCUGCCAAAAACGCCGAUCAGAGCGUUUUAAAACAUAUCUUCCUACAGUUCGCUCGAGCAGCAGUACCGCCACGGACCUCCAGCAAGACCCUAAUCUACAGACCAGCCAUAGGACCCCCUUUGAUGGGGUGGGAGCGGAGCACCCGCAGAAAGAUGUAACGACGUGGAGCAAUGCCUCUGGCGCGGUCGAAUCAAAGUGCACCAAGACAGAUGACGUACUGACGGGCAGUAGUGCCUCCACUUGUGCACCAAAGCAUCCAGAGGAACGUCUUCAUAUGACGACGGCCAGCAGUGCCACAACUGAAAGAUCGACAAGAGCUUGCACCACAAACGCCGUUGCAGUCGAAAGACCAUCUGCUUCGGCAAGCUCCACACCCACUCGCGCAAGCUCAUCUAAAAGACCGUCCGUCGAAGCAAGCGUUAAGUUUCCAAAGAAAGUGCGUUCUCCGUACGUCAGUAAUGACCCGACAGAAAUCAAUGGCAACGAAAACCCAGCUUGGGAAUCUCUGCGAAGGCUCAGCACCGAGGACGAGCGAUACGAAGCCGCGCGUAGAGUUUAUAGUAACAAACCCAUUCCGGAUUCCCAUGAAGACUUGUCGACAUAUGGUUAUCGUCGUCAACGCUCACUUGGCCGAAAACCUAUCGACCUCAGACAGGCACGACGCCGCCGAGAGCGUGAGAGGUCAAAUCCCGGCUCUUCCAAACAUUGAAAGCGUCUCCGCAUGGCCACCGAAAUAUUCGAUGAAAAUAUUAAAAAAGCCCAAAAAGACAAGAAGAGAGAGAGCUUUCAUUAGCCCGCGAUAAGCUAAACCGCGGCCUACGCAAGCUGCAUAAAACGAGGAGGAGCAAAGGGUCGAGCUGGAGGAGCGCACGAGAGGGGGCAGGAGCGAGGAGACACCGGCGGUACCAGACGGUGCCAGAGGAGGAAGGAGAGCGGAGGCACCGACGGUACCAGACGGAGCCAUGGGAGAAACGAGAAAGGGUGCACCGAGUGGUGCCAGAAGGCGCCAGAAGAGGAAGGAGAGAGGAUGCACCAGCGUUACGAGAAGGCGCCACAGGAGUUUCGUUAUUGGCAGAUCCAAAAGCAGUUCUUCCGCGACGACUUGACAGCGCAUGAGCAAAGGACCAUGUACGCGUGUACCUUGAAUAUACAAAAGUUACGCAACGCCAGCGAGGAGGUGCAUCGCGUGAACACUUUCUACGCUGGCCUGAAGGAUUGUGACCCACGGCUGCUGUCGCAUCAUCAGUUGAAGGAACAACUGACGCUAGUAGACAUGCUUGAGUACCUCCAGAAAUUCUACGACCAAGUGGAGCAUUGAUGAACACUGACAUGUUAGCUUGUGAUUGAUCUUGGUUUAUGUGCUUGCUGUAUUUUAAUAAAUUAUUUUCUUUAGAGACAA